RNAcentral lists this long non-coding RNA (1501 nucleotides) under Capra hircus (goat). Its description in RNAcentral is "lncRNA (ENSCHIG00010000227.1)". The record is from RNAcentral. Lineage: Eukaryota; Metazoa; Chordata; Mammalia; Artiodactyla; Bovidae.
CAGCGCUCCCCAUCUUGUUGCCCCUCACACAAUGAAUGAACAUUUUACACUGAAACCCCAUUUUGCAGAUGAGGAGACUGAGUCUGUCAAAGAUGCCAGAUUUAGAUCGCCAAGUUGUGCCUUCAACACUGUGCUCUGAAUUAACUCUGUGCUUUAAACACAGGGAUUUAGAAGUUAUCCUCAGCCAAGGGUGAAAGUGGGGAGGGCUGGAGAAGUGUGAGAGGUGAGGGAGGGAAAAUAUGGGGAAUUCAUAGGAAGUGUGUCAUUGGACUGGUACUUGAAAGGCAAGUAGGGUUUUAGCAAGAACUAGAUGGGGCAGNNNNNNNNNNNNNNNNNNNNNNNNNNNNNNNNNNNNNNNNNNNNNNNNNNNNNNNNNNNNNNNNNNNNNNNNNNCAGCUUCUACUAUGAAUUCCUAGAGGUCCAGUCAAGCUCAAGUGUAAGUUGUACAAAAGUGAGAUGCAGAAGCAAAUUCCUAAAGGUGGUUUGAAGGAAUAAGGGGAAAGGAGGCUUUAAUCUAUAAAUAAUUUCUUCACCCCCUCAAAAAAAGUUUUUAAUGUGAUAUAGCAACAGGUGCUUCCCAGGUGGCACUAAUGAUAAAGAAUCCACCUGCCAAAGCAGAAGACACAGAAGAUGCGGGUUGAUCUCCUGGAAUAGGAAAUCACAGCCUGCUCCAGUAUUCUUGCCUGGAAGAUUCCAUGGACAGAGGACCCUGGCAGGCUACAUUCCAUGGGGCCACAAAGAGUCAGACAUGACUACGUGACUGAGCACAUGUGAACACGUGGUGCUUUUGAGUACACAUUACACUAUUCUCUGUGCUUUCUAUAGCUUUAACAUUUAUUUUGAAAGAAAUCCGAUCACUGUCAUUAGAUUUUGGAGAUCUUGUGUUCCAAGCUAAAGACUUGGGAUUUAUUCUGUAGGUGCCUUGUGAAGAGGCCAUUCUGAGCCUUCCCAUUGACUGAGCAUGGCCCAGUUAAAGUGGUACCUUGGGACAAAGUUUCUGAGGGCAGCAUGGAGCGGCACCAGACUGGAGCAGAGGGAGCAUGCAGACACAGCAGCCAUCCACGUGCUUCAUCCAAUGGAGGAAUUGAGAGCCACACCCACUGAGAGGUGCCAGCCAACAACAAAGCACAGGAUGGAGCUGGCCCAGCUCUUGGCAGAUGGAAGUCAGAGGCAGCCAGAUCCGGGGAGGGGCUCCCACUCUGCAGAGCAACGCCCCACUGCUGGGCUAGAAGGUGGCCACCAGUGUCCUGAGCUUACCCGUGAGAAUCUAACAGGGAAAGGCAGGUAGGUGACCCAUGGUGAACACAUCAGGAACCAGGAGGGAUGGAUGGAUAAGGGUAAAGCAGCUUGAGCUGGACAAGAAAACCCAAGGCCCCCUCCCUUCUUCCCAGGUGCUCUGGGAGCAAGGGGAGCUCAGCUACCCUCACAAAGAGGGCUGCCUUCUCUACCGCGGUAGUUCUCCAAAUUAAGCUGGCAUCACAAUGAUCAGGAGGGCGGUUUA